Molecule: long non-coding RNA, 4868 nt
Organism: Polistes dominula (European paper wasp)
Lineage: Eukaryota; Metazoa; Arthropoda; Insecta; Hymenoptera; Vespidae
Source: RefSeq, a predicted model, not a curated record
GAAGGUAGAGAAUAUAAAGGAGAAAGAAUUUUGACACGUAUAUGCAGCCUUGAACUAUCGAGAAAAAGAAAGAAAGAAAAUGUUUACGGUGUCUUUAUCUCAGUGCUAAUGGAAAUUAAAUGUCGAGACGGUAUUUCCCUUGCAAAUACGAAGAUUAGUCUAUACUUGUCAAGGACGAAUACUGAAAACCACUCAUGCAAUUAUGGACAUUCUAUUUGGAAAAAAGGAAAAAAAAAGCGAAAGCAUAAAACGAACGUCCUCCGAGGAGUAAUUUAUUUUGACAUAUUCGGUAUACGCAACAACGACCUCGUUCUAUAUACUUUUAAGGAAGUUUUUAUCGACGAGUGUCCUUUGCAUUAAAUUAUGUUCACGGUGAAAAAGAAAAAUUGCUAGAACAAAAAUAGAACGUCAAAGAUAUCUUUAUACUUUUGUAAUCGUUGUUAAAUCUUCAAGGAUCUUGAUUAUUCCAAGUAGAAGAAAAUGAAAAUGUAAUGUAAGGAACGACAGAGUUCGUGAUUCGCACGAAAGAUUCUUCUCCGCGUCUGGAAGAGAAACGUCGACGGCAUAAAGAAUCGAUUCUUCGGAGUCCAGCGACCCUUUAGCUUCAUCCGCAAAUCGAAAACGUCGUUGACCAUUGAAUGCGUCGUCUGGGAUGCAUCUGUAUAUGCAUUGUAUCUGUGUAUAUUGAUGACAUCUACAGGGUGUUCUCGUUCAACAUCUCACAAAGUGUUGUAAUAAAUUAAUACAUUGUUUCUUUUUUCAUGUACAAAUUGUAGGAUAACAUUUGAGUCAUUUAUUUUGUUGAUACAAUAAUGAAGAAAAAGAGAAAGAGAUAAAUUAAGGAUAAAGAUUAUAUCUUGUGAAAUUUACAAGUCGUGUUAACUUCAAGGUUUCUCGAGAUCUUGAACGAAGUCGAGAUGAGCGUAGGUCGUCGCCGAAGAAACGAAAUAAAAAUUCCAUAAGUUUAUAGAGAAGAAGAAGCCGGUGAGGGGGAAGUAAAGUAGGAGGAGUAGGCGCCGCUGGGUAAUCGACCGAUCGAGUUUGACCGGAGUUGAUCGUUGGACGACCUUGGAAAAUAUCGUCUCUCUCGAAGGUUCAUUUAAAAACUACAACAUCAAUCGGUUGGUACCGACCAUUGAUUUGACUAGACUAAGUUGGAAAGUUUCGAAAGGAACUACCAUGGACACAUUAACAUUAUUAUGGUACAGUUAUGUCACCGGUUAAACGAAUAAAAUAUCAGCAAGAGGAUGUGAAUAUUGCAUAAACUUCUGUCUAUCGCGUCCGGAAAUACAAACUGAUAUAAAUCCUGUUAGUCUAUAUUCAUUUCAAGAAUUUUUAUGUCAUCAUCUGAAUCCAAGAAGGAAAAAAACGGAUAGAUAAGGUUCUUUUUUAUUAUAAAAAUAUUACCUAUUGCAUAUGUGAUGUCUUUUUCAAGUCUUCCAAAUUCUUUUGUAAAUCAAUAAUCAUAAACGAUUAACGAUAUGGAUCAAUGAUGGUUUAAAAGAAAAAAAAAAAAGGUAUCACACGUGUUGUUAGUGCAAUAUCUUCGCAUAAUUAUUGCGAGAAUAAUGAGAAGUCCCUUCGCCGGAAAGGAACGUCGUCGUCCAUACAUUCUGACCCGAUUCUCUAACAUUCUCCGAGGUACCAUUACACAAUUAGAGAUAACAACGGAUCGUGGGACCGAACGAAGUCGAAACGAUGCAGUUAGUUUCGAUCGUAAACGUCACACCGAUAUUUCACGAUCUCUCUUCUUAUUGUUACCUUUGUUUUUCACUCUCUACGAAUCAUGACGUUUAUCGCACCUAGAUCUACGAUCGAGAUAUUGUUUUUUCAUUUUUAUUUAAUGACAAAAGUAACGUUCAAAAUUCUUAGAAACUGCACUGUUUUUGUCCUACGAUUAAAUAUAAUAGAAAUAUGUGAUAACAUAUGCGACGUAGCAAUUAUUAAUCUUUGACCGGUGUUUAUAAAUGAAAAAUAUUUUUCCAAGUUGUUUUAUGCGUAAAUAUGUUUAUCUAUGCAUCGGUCGGUGAUUCGUUUCCUUUUUCUAACAUUUUCUAGCAUUUUCUAGCAUAAGAUUGGCGUUCUAAAGCAAGUGACACGUCACGAGCUUGCUCGACCCGUUUUGUGGAAUUUCGUUUAUUGCCAGAUGUCGCGGAGACAUAUAAUUCACAAGUUUAAAUGACAGAUAAUUGCUAUGUAUCUCUCUCAACUCUCUCAACGCUCUCAACUAAAGAAACAUAACAAAAGAAGUAACUGGCUCAACGUUAUAGUUUCCUCGAAAAAGUACUCUUUCGAAAUUUCAUUUGAAUUUCGCGGAAAAUUAUGACGUCGAGACAGACAAUAUUUUUAUUGGUCAAUAUAAAUAAUGAAUUUUAAUUGGUCGAAAUAAGUCAUGAAUUCUGAUUGGUUAAUAGAAAAAAAAUGAUAAUUUCGAUUAUUAUCGAUCGAUUUAAAUUGAAAAUCCAUUGCAACGCGAUUUAUCUUGCGUUUCUAGAUCGUAUUUUUAAUCGUUUAAUAAUAGUGUUGUUAAAAAAAUUGAUUGUGAAAUGUAAUUAGAAAAAAGGGAGAGAAAGAGAGAGAAAAAGGAGAAGAAUAUUAUGUACAUAGCUGGAGGGUUAAAUCCUGUUGCGUUGGUCGCACGAGCCACUCAAGAAUCUUACGUCUGGCGCCAAGCUUGAUCAUGGAAAAUGGUAGGAGAAGAUGGAGAAGGAAAAAACAAGAAAAAAGAAAUAAACGACGUCUCGAAAAAAAAAAGUAUACUCUCCUUCUCCCUUUCUCUUUUUCUCUUUCUUGUACAAGUUCAGUUUUCUUAUAAGACUUAACGAAGAAGAAGAAGAAGAAGAAGAAGAAGAUGAAGAUGAAAAGGAUUGCGUAUAACACUGUACGAGUAUAGCCCUAUACACUCCAUUAAUCAUUUUUUUGUUCUUUUCAAGAUAUGUCCGUUAAAAAUUCUCGUAAGAUCGAGGAAGCUGCUAAAGAAGAUGAUUACGUCAAUAGAACUUUAAAGAUUACUCGUUUCUUUCAGACAAAACGAUGACUCGUGUAAAUCCUUGUCUAUUCUCUCUGUGCUUCGUACACCUAACAUACUUGUACAUAUAAAUAUAUAUACAAAGUUAUAUUAUUAGAACAAAACGCACGUGUCUCACGUUCAUUUUCUUCUAAAAGGCACGACGAACGCAUUGCAAUACGUUGCCGUUGACGAACACGAUCGCUCUUGUGCAUAUGAAGAGCCAUUUAAACGACAAUGCGACGAUGAAGUACAAUUGCGUUCUCCCGUUCGAGAGGGGAACCCCUAUAGCAAUAUAUAUAAGCUUCAUAAUAACCAUUUUUCCUCUCUCAAUCUAAGCUCGAUUAUCUUUCGCGAGCAUAUUCGCUAUUUCGAUAGGAAAUCUUUGUCAAAUCUUUUUGAUAGAAAAAAUAUGUAAUAUUAAAUAGUUAGAUUUUAAAGAUAUCAAAUAAUGUUGUAAUAAGUAUUGUAACUUUUGCUUUAGCAAUGAAAAUCUUUAAUGAAUACUGUCGAAAUACUAACGGCAAAGGGAAGUAACGUUAUGUACGCUUUCCCUUCCGUGGUACCGCUUUUGUAUGAUCCUUGGAGAAAUCGUUCUGAUUUACAGUACUAAGGUCGACUUCUCACUAAAGAAUGAGAAGAAAAAAAGAAACAAAUAACUAUUGUUUUACUUAUUUUCAUGAAAUAUAUAACAUUAUAUAUACUAUAUAAAAUAUCGUUUAAACGACGAAGAAGUCUGUACGAGAGAUAUAAAUGUUUGAUAACGUAUGAUUCCGUUUUUAUACUUUGUAAAUAGAGUUAUCAAAGUGACACCUAAAUAAUUUCGAUAUUCUUGUGUACAUAAUUGAAAAUUUAUAAUUUGAUAUGAACGGAAUAUUCGACGGAAUUACCAAAAUUAGAAUUUGCUUAUGGCUUUGAAAAUAACGUUGGUAGGGAGAUAAUUAAUUAGUUUAAACGCGUGUGAACGAUGUACAAAACACACCGACAUACAUAGGUUGAGCGUACAGAAAGGGGGAUCGGUUAGUCUCGAAAGUAUUCUUCAAAAGGCACGAUCGGUGACGGUGUCCUGAGCUCGUCGAUACGCCACAAGGAUUUUCAGGCCAGUGAACAGUAUAAUGACGCGAGCACGAAACCGUAUGCUGCAUCAAAAAAAAGCAGAUUUAAAUAGCUAUCGUACGGACAGAUAUCUUAAACAACGCUAUAUGAUAAUUAUAAGCAAGCACAGUUUGAUUAAUAAUUACAUCAUCAAUGUAAUAAGAUAUUUGAAUCAUCCAGAUUAAAUUAUUCAAGAAGCAUAAAUCAUCGUGAUCGUGAUUAUCAUCUUAUCCACUGGUCAAUCUUAUUAUUAUAAAAUAGAAGAUAAAUAAGAAAAAAAAAAAAACAACAAAAAAACAUGCAACUAAUCGUAAAAAAAGGAGAAACGGAAGGGAUUGUAUUAUUGGUCGACAAGCUUCCGGUUUGAAGCCCUCUCUCUACGCGGAGACCAUUCUAAGCAUUUGCCUGGCCUCCUCCGUUACACCUACGCACGUAUAAAAAGGCUUCGUUUACAAAUCAAAGUAAACAGUAUCGUCAUUGGGAGAAGUUAAACAUUCAUUUACGAAGAAGCGUGUCAUGUAUACGAAUGUUAUUAUGUACGAGCUCUGCUUGCAAGACGUGGAAGAACGCACGCGUAGAAAAGGAAUUUCGUACACCUGGUCGCAUUAGAAGAUAUUCGAUAAACGUAUUUAGAUAAGAAGAUUUUAUUUACGAAGCAAGUGAUGUCGUCACAGAAAGAAAGUCAACGUUCCUUUAGGAAGAAGCCGUGGUGGCUCAUUUAGAAACAUUGUUUAUUAGCUUUCGAGACUUGGAAGAAGAAGAAGAA